AAUUCUCAACUCUACCAGCUUGCUGACUAGAGAUUGGAUGUGGAGGUUUUGCGGGCUUCUCAGAAGUCGGCUCCUCUUAAAUACAUUAGCGGAAUCAUUGCGUAUCGCUCAUGGUGUGAUAAUUAUCUGCGCCUAGAGUUGAACGUGAACUGCGAUUCAGCUUCUAACCGUCCGCAAGGACAACAUUUGACA
RNAcentral lists this unclassified non-coding RNA (192 nucleotides) under uncultured fungus. RNAcentral describes it as "sequence contains ITS2". Lineage: Eukaryota; Fungi. The record is from RNAcentral.